RNAcentral lists this small RNA (159 nucleotides) under Streptosporangium roseum. Its description in RNAcentral is "c-di-AMP sequence". It matches the Rfam family "c-di-AMP riboswitch aptamer (ydaO/yuaA leader)". From Rfam's summary of the family: This family represents a conserved RNA structure found upstream of the ydaO and yuaA genes in Bacillus subtilis and related genes in other bacteria. The ydaO/yuaA element is thought to act as a genetic "off" switch for the ydaO and yuaA genes in its native state. Lineage: Bacteria; Bacillati; Actinomycetota; Actinomycetes; Streptosporangiales; Streptosporangiaceae. RNAcentral also lists the same sequence under 1 other name. The record is from RNAcentral.
CGCGGCGGCCUGCCGAAUCCGUGCAGCCAGGAGGCAUGGAACCGGGGACCCAAGGGCCCUCAAGGUAUGGCCAGGGGUGAAUCGGCAUAUUUCAUGCCGUAGGGCGACUUCCCCGCCCGAAUCCGUCAGCUAACCCGGUAGGCAUCAGUGGAAGCCCCA